RNAcentral lists this ribosomal RNA (253 nucleotides) under uncultured bacterium. RNAcentral describes it as "partial 16S ribosomal RNA". It matches the Rfam family "Bacterial small subunit ribosomal RNA", at positions 524 to 776 of the family's 1533-position model. The record is from RNAcentral.
UACGUAGGGUGCAAGCGUUGUCCGGAAUUAUUGGGCGUAAAGAGCUCGUAGGCGGUCUGUCGCGUCGGCUGUGAAAACCCGUGGCUCAACCCCGGGCCUGCAGUCGAUACGGGCAGACUAGAGUGCGGUAGGGGAGACUGGAAUUCCUGGUGUAGCGGUGAAAUGCGCAGAUAUCAGGAGGAACACCGGUGGCGAAGGCGGUUCUCUGGGCAUUACCUGACGCUGAGGAGCGAAAGUGUGGGGAGCGAACAGG